GACGAACGCUGGCGGCGUGCCUAAUACAUGCAAGUCGAGCGAAGUUUUUCUGGUGCUUGCACUAGAAAAACUUAGCGGCGAACGGGUGAGUAACACGUAAAGAACCUGCCUCAUAGACUGGGACAACUAUUGGAAACGAUAGCUAAUACCGGAUAACAGUAUAUCUCGCAUGAGAGAUAUUUAAAAGUUGGUUAUGCUAACACUAUGAGAUGGCUUUGCGGUGCAUUAGCUAGUUGGUGGGGUAAAGGCCCACCAAGGCGACGAUGCAUAGCCGACCUGAGAGGGUGAUCGGCCACACUGGGACUGAGACACGGCCCAGACUCCUACGGGAGGCAGCAGUAGGGAAUCUUCCGCAAUGGGCGAAAGCCUGACGGAGCAACGCCGCGUGAGUGAAGAAGGAUUUCGGUUCGUAAAGCUCUGUUGUUAGGGAAGAAUGGAUAUGUAGUAACUAUACAUGUAAGAGACGGUACCUAACCAGAAAGCCACGGCUAACUACGUG
Molecule: ribosomal RNA, 499 nt
Filed under: uncultured bacterium
Lineage: Bacteria
Description: partial 16S ribosomal RNA
Rfam family: Bacterial small subunit ribosomal RNA
Source: RNAcentral